This 148-nucleotide small RNA is filed under the name Pongo abelii (Sumatran orangutan). RNAcentral's name for it is "Metazoan signal recognition particle RNA (ENSPPYG00000020985.2)". The record is from Rfam by way of RNAcentral. Lineage: Eukaryota; Metazoa; Chordata; Mammalia; Primates; Hominidae.
GCCGGGCAUGGUGGUGGGUGCCUGUAAUCCCAGCUACUCAGGAGGCUGAGGCAGGAGAAUCACUUGAACCCAGGAGGCGGAGGUUGCAGUGAGCAGAGAUAGCGCCAUCGCACUCCAGCCUGGGUGACAGAGUGAGACUAUGUCUCUU